AUCCACUGAGCAGAGUUUGAUUAAAGUCGAAGGAUUUUCACAGUGUUUAAGACUGAACCAGGCCUCAUCACCCACUGUGGGACCCAUCUUUAUUUUCUCUUAUCCCAAAUUUACAUUUUUUUUAAAAAAGGAUGAUGUCAGUAUAAUUAAAAAUCUUUAUUCUUCCUUCUCUGUGGCAGCAGAACCAUCAGAGUCUGUAUUUGCUGUUGCUCAGAGCCAUUUAAAAGGUCAUUAGCGAUGAACUUAAAUGUUUGAAGAGGGAGAUCAAUUUUUUUUCCUGCAGACAGACAGACGACCAGAGAGUCUGCCCGUCUGCACACUGCUGCGUUCGUCAGCCAUGAUUCUGUCUGCGGUGACAUCAGAGAAAAACAGUCAAUUCUCUGCUGAAACCAUGUGACCAGAGUGUGGCGCUGAUGAGCGUUAGGCUGCUAUGCUCGCCGCUUCUCUAAGACUGCCCCCUGCCCCGUACUGCAGCCCUCGGUCCUGAUGCAGAGGAGAACACUGUGUCACACACCUGAGAAUAAUGUGUUCUUUCCUCCUUGAGACAAUGGUCCGGUGGUUGUUUACUGUAUGUCCUCAGUUUUAUGUCUUGUUGUUCAUAAAUAGCCCCUGGCACAAAUGGCACUGGGGUUAAGUGACUGUGUGACAGGGCAACAGUGUUCUGAGGUGACGUUGCUUGGCUCCAGUUGACUUCUGUAGUUUCACAACAGAAUAUUCCCACGAGUUAAAUUAAAAAGACAUUGGAUUUUUUUUAUCUGCCAAAUCCCAGCCUCAGAGUCUUUCUCUACUAAUUUCCCAGUUUUAUGUAAAACAGAUGAUUUCUGAUCUUAGUUAUCUUAGGACAGAAUAAAUGAAAAUUGACGUCUAAUUUGUUCCGCAGUUUUCCACAUGGCCUGUAAUAAUUUAAGUUCCUGCUUCUAUAAUAAUUACAAGGACUUGGGUCGCGGUCAAAUUCAGUUUUUAAACUAUUCCUAACUCGCUUUCUGUGUUGUAUUCAUUUCAAUCCAUUUUAAUCUCAGGUCUGUUGGUGGACAUGGGUAGAAUAGUCUUGGUGGUUCUGGCUAAUACACAUCAAAUUAAAAUUAUAUCUAAAAUUUUAAUUUGAUAUAUUAGCCAUAUAUCCAGGCUGUUGAUAUAUCUAUAUCUAUAUAUAUAUAUAGUUACAGUUCAUUAGGUGAAACCACAGAGAAGUACUGGGAAAUCAUAGAGUAAUUGAUAUUGUACCAUACCACUGUAUGUUUGUGUAUAAUUUCCCCAGUGAGCGGUGCAGCAGUGUGGACAGCGUGGACGGUAGAACGGGGACAGAGUUCAUCCACUGUUGCCUGGAUGGAGACACCGCAGCAGCUCACUGAGGCUGGUUAAUGGAUUGUUGGACUGGGCAAAGCCUUGGCCACCAUUUCCCCAGCAACACUGGGUUAAACUAAUCACCAUCUGGUGUGUAACUGCUUCCAUGCAAACACGCUGACGGUUUUGGGACAUAUCCUGGUUCUUUCAUGCAGAAAAACAGUCGUGUCAGGAAAAUAAUUGUCCUGCCAGACUCACACCUCCUUGUUAGCACGGUAAAGUGCACACAGCAGUGCUAACCCAGUCGUCUCAGGCCUCUCUAAGUCAGACGUCCAACCCAACAGAGUGACGGACAGGAUCGCUGCUAAGAUCCAGCCUUGACAACAAAGAGCAAUUCUUUUAAUCCUUGCCGGAAUCAUUCAAACUUUGACCUUUUGCUGGAUAUAAUAGCAUUUUCCUGUUGUGUCCAGGCUGUUGCAGAUAGGAUAUCCUCCCAUGCUUGACCCCAUCUGACCUGGUGACAGCAUGACACAGGCCGUUUGUGAGGUACGUGUUGAAGAGCAGCCAGUUGAGCAGUUCUUCCAUGGAGUCAGACGACUUCUGUGCGUCCCAUGGAACAGAGAUGGUGAACCCUGCCACCAACCCCGACUCGCUUCUCUUACGGCCCAGAAGUCAUGGAAGAGAGCGACUCACCCUCCCAUAGACACGCCUACACCAAGGACAGGGGCAGCAGGGAAGACUCCUUUAACGUGCUUCACCACAAAUUCUAAAUCGGAGGUGUCAGCCGCGCAGUAGGUGACAGGAGUCUGAGAGAAGCAGUCGUACACAGGACAGAAAAAACUGAGAACAAAUCCUCACUGUCUGUCACUGUUAAAUAUGUACAUUUUAUUUAGUUAAUUUGUGAAACUAAUCAGAACCUAAUUAGAUCUGCAUACAGAUCUAAGUCCACUGAGCAUCCACUUAUUGUUGCUCUAAUACACAGUCCACACACGUUAAUAUGUAUACCCGUUACAAAGGCUUUAAAUACCAUCUCAACGUCCAGCAUGUGUUUGUGGAGGCUUCAGCUUCUGGUCAGAUGCUUCAGACUUGUUCUACAAGUCAUGACGCACAGUGAUGACUAAAAGUUAAACUUCUGCAUCAUUUUCUUGACAGUUUUCCAUAUUAUGAAUUCCAUAAUUUGUAUUAGUCACAAAUAAAAACAGAAACACAUACA
Long non-coding RNA from Cynoglossus semilaevis (tongue sole), 2497 nucleotides. RefSeq lists it as uncharacterized. Lineage: Eukaryota; Metazoa; Chordata; Actinopteri; Pleuronectiformes; Cynoglossidae. The record is from RefSeq and is a predicted model, not a curated record. The transcript is spliced from 3 exons.